Molecule: ribosomal RNA, 494 nt
Filed under: uncultured bacterium
Lineage: Bacteria
Description: partial 16S ribosomal RNA
Rfam family: Bacterial small subunit ribosomal RNA
Source: RNAcentral
GACGAACGCUGGCGGCGUGCUUAACACAUGCAAGUCGAACGGAAAGGCCUGCUUUCCCUUGUGGAUUGCGGGUACUCGAGUGGCGAACGGGUGAGUAACACGUGAGUGAUCUGCCCCCAACUUGGGUAUAAGCCUGGGAAACUGGGUCUAAUUUCCGAUAGGACUGCAGGGUGGUGCCUGUGGUGGAAAACGAUUUUCUAGUGGUUGGGGAUGAGCUCGCGGCCUAUCAGCUUGUUGGUGGGGUAAUGGCCUACCAAGGCGGCGACGGGUAGCCGGCCUGAGAGGGUGGACGGCCACAUUGGGACUGAGAUACGGCCCAGACUACUACGGGAGGCAGCAGUGGGGAAUAUUGCACAAUGGGCGGAAGCCUGAUGCAGCGACGCCGCGUGGGGGAUGACGGCCUUCGGGUUGUAAACUCCUUUCGACCGCGAGGAAGCCACCUGGUUGGAAGGGUGGUGACGGUAGUGGUAGAAGAAGCACCGGCUAACUACGUG